GAUGAAGAACGUAGCGAAAUGCGAUAAGUAAUGCGAAUUGCAGAAUCCGUGAGUCAUCGAAUCUUUGAACGCACAUUGUGCCCUCUGGUAUUCCGGAGGGCAUGCCUGUUCGAGCGUCAUUAUCACCCCUCAAGCCCGGCUUGUUGUUGGAUGCAGCGCUUAUCCCGCUCCUCCCAAAGAUAAUGACGGCGUCUGCGACGACUCCUGUACACUGAGCUUUCGGGCACGUACACGGCUAGAAGUCCAGACCCGGUCGCCGUCCCCCCCGCGGGGACACCCAUUACCACAAGGUUGACCUCGGAUCAGGUAGGAAUACCCGCUGAACUUAAGCAUAUCAAUAAGCGGAGGA
RNAcentral lists this unclassified non-coding RNA (349 nucleotides) under soil metagenome. Its description in RNAcentral is "partial contains 5.8S ribosomal RNA, internal transcribed spacer 2, and large subunit ribosomal RNA". The stretch from base 1 to 119 matches the Rfam family "5.8S ribosomal RNA", at positions 35 to 154 of the family's 154-position model. The record is from RNAcentral.